Molecule: transfer RNA, 63 nt
Filed under: Myrmeleomastax wideis
Lineage: Eukaryota; Metazoa; Arthropoda; Insecta; Orthoptera; Eumastacidae
Description: tRNA-Tyr
Rfam family: tRNA
About the family: Transfer RNA (tRNA) molecules are approximately 80 nucleotides in length. Their secondary structure includes four short double-helical elements and three loops (D, anti-codon, and T loops).
Source: RNAcentral
GGUAAAAUGGCUGAUUUAGGUGAUGGAUUGUAAAUCUAUUUAUGAGUGUUAACUCUUUUACCA